RNAcentral lists this ribosomal RNA (300 nucleotides) under Triticum aestivum (bread wheat). RNAcentral's name for it is "partial small subunit ribosomal RNA". Lineage: Eukaryota; Viridiplantae; Streptophyta; Magnoliopsida; Poales; Poaceae. The record is from RNAcentral.
AUGGCUUUGGGCUCCAUGUUUCCCGCAGGUCCAGAGAGAGGGGCGCGAGCUGAAUCCAUCCGACGGGCUGACGAACUCGAGGCACUUGGGUGCCAUGGCUGCUCCUGUCAUGACGAGGAGAGAGGUGGCGGCGUGCUCGAGGACGAGCUCGGCAUGGGGCGCAGGCAAGAGGAUGGCGCGGCUGUUCAUGGCGGAGCUGCGAGGACGGGCGCACUCGGGCAGGGGGGAAGAAGGCAUCAGGUGAGGUGGAGUUGGAUCGAGUGGGUGGGGCUGGUUGGCUCGAUGCUGAAAACAGGGUGA